Molecule: long non-coding RNA, 640 nt
Organism: Stegodyphus dumicola
Lineage: Eukaryota; Metazoa; Arthropoda; Arachnida; Araneae; Eresidae
Source: RefSeq, a predicted model, not a curated record
UUUUAUUCGCGCAGUUGGAGUACAACCGAUUCGCAGAAUCAAGUCAUUUAAAAGGCAAUCAAUAAAUUUUUAUUAAAAUCGUGUUAAAUGUGGUAGAUUGGUGGAAGAGUACUAUAGAUAAUAAAGCAAAGAAAACUGGCAACUGUGAAACUUUGGUAGCGGUGUGAUAACUUCAUGCUGUGAUGAGUAGCAGAGGAAGCAGGUCCAGUAAACAUAAAUAGGAUCUCCGUCCUGUUUCGAUUAUUAAAAUUUAAACUUUUUUUGGUAGGUAAUACCGCGGAAUUAUGUACAAGAUAAAGAUCACAUCUACUCAUGAUAUACGAACAUACAUAACCGUAGCCUUCGAACAUGUCACAACUGACGUUCUGAAUUCUAUAAGAACUGGAAAACCAUUUGGACUUCUCACAUGCGACCAAAAUACAUAUGCGGAAAUCUAUUAAUUAAGCUGCACAAAACGUGAACAAUAUUUCUACCUUUGGAAAUAUAAACAGUUCUUUACUGCAUUAUAUAGUUUUUUUUUAAGAAAAACCUGAGGCUGUAUGCAUCAUUUCUAUGACACCCUCUGUAUAUCAGUCAUAUUUUCGAUAAAAAUCAUAGCGGUAACUAUCAGCUUUUCUUCUGUUGUUAGAAUAUUCCAGUA